UUCACACUUUUGUAACAAACAAUAGUUUUGCUUCUUUUUUUUUCCUUUUCUUGCUUUUUUUUUUCCUUUUCUUCUUCUUCCAAUUCUUUUUUCUCUCUUCUGGAUUUUGGAGUGAAGAAGAAUGCUUCGACGAUUGUUAAGUAAUCUUAAAGGGUUUCUGAUUUGGGCAUGAAACUAGUACAAUCGCAUGAGUUUCUUCUCUGCCAUGGUGAUUUGGUUUUUGAGGAUUGAAAUCGAAUGUGUUCAAUUGAUCAGUUCACAACAAGGUUCUGUUUCUGUCUAACCCUUGAAGCGUGUCUCCGCUUCGUCGAGAUUCUAUUUUGGGGACAUUGUCCCAAGGAAAAUUGUAAGCUGUGGGCUUGGUAGUGCAUGCAUAUUGGGAAUGGGGUUGCGAUUUGUUGGAUGAUCCUACGGAUUUAUAAGUCUAAAGAGAAAAAGACAGAAAAGAACCAAAAGACAUUGAAAGGGAACUGUUGGCUUGGUAGUGCAUGCUUGUUGGGAAAAAUUAUAAGACAAAAGAGUCGCAUGACUUUGAAUGGGAAUGCGCUCUAAGACAAAAGAGAUACAAGAACCAAAGAGUUCUCAUAGCUUGGUACCCUUGGCUUGCAAAAUCAUAAUGGUAAUGAGCCUUAAGACAAAUGACAAAA
Molecule: long non-coding RNA, 647 nt
Organism: Capsella rubella
Lineage: Eukaryota; Viridiplantae; Streptophyta; Magnoliopsida; Brassicales; Brassicaceae
Exons: 4
Source: RefSeq, a predicted model, not a curated record